AUUUGGUAUCCCUCUACGUGUCUAUCUCUGGAAGCCCACAAAAAAUUUAGUCUCCUCUCUUUCUUCUGGUUCUGUCACGCUGAACCUCCCAUCGAAUUUCUCCGGCGAGCCGUCGUGAUCCACCCUCGGCGCGCCUACUCUGCUUCCUCCACUCCAUUUUGUUGCCCCUGCUCUUCCCCCACAAUGCGAACACUCAAGCUCCACAACCCAUCAUGUGAGAUCCCCGCCACCGAGGGCUGUCGCCGCCGCGCGCCUGGGGGCUGCUGCUGCCGCCGUCGCGGCCCUGUGGCGGGGCACAGUCUACGUCGGGGCGAAUCACCGGAGAUUGGAAUUUUGAAGAUCAGGACGCGUUGUAGUAGGAGGUCGAGAUACCAGAUAGUCGGAGGCGGAGAUGGGAUGCAGUAUCCACCGCUCCAUUUCCAUUUGCGCCGCUUUCCACCAUCAACCCUAAGCUUUGAUGGCCCGAGAGGCCGCCGGGCCUAGCCCCUCCGCUCCUCCCUCUCCAUGCCGCCGACGGGCCGCGCUGAUUGGCGAAGCUUGGUUGGCAUCACGGGCCCUUCUCUCUGCCCCGCUUGGUGGUGGACGGCACGAGACGAGAGUGCUGUUGCGCUGGCGUACUGCGCGAUGGCGCGGCGGCUCGGUGGCGAGUGCUGGAGCAUGGUUGUCAGCUCUUGUGGUGGAGUGGUAGCCGUUGGUCAUCGACGCGGAUGUUUCGCGGAGGUGGCGACCGUGGCUGCUGCGGCGGCCGAUCUGGUUCCGCACAAAUCUUGAUUUCUCCCUUUGCGAGCCCUUGGUGGUUUACGCUGGAGGCUGGCGGUUGUGCGGGGAAUCCGAGUCAGAGAUGGCUGUGGUCGGCGCUUACCGGCGGCCGGCGGCCGGCAUAGCCGGUUGACUGGGUGGCCCCCGUCGAGAUAUGAAGAGGCCAUAUAUGGAGAAUUGGAGAGUCCUGGGCUCAGCUGCAGGGGCGGGACGUCUCCUCCUCCUUACUCGGGAUCGGCUUUCCCCGCACGUGGCUUGGUGCGUGUCCACUGGGCAGCCAUGGCGGCGAUGCUUCUUGGCUUUGACCUCCGUAUAACCAUGCCUUGUGGUGGGAUCUGGAGGCUCAGCUGUUGUUUUGCCUUCGCCAUCCAUAGGCGUUUGUAGGCUGCUCUGCUUGAUGCGAUGGUCGAUGGGAGUUCCUCUGGUUGUGGCUAGGUUGUAUCUCUCUCUGGUUUGCGUCCUUGCCUGAGGAAUUCGUUAGGUGAUGCUAUUGAUGGUCCGGCUUCUGCAGCCUGCGUUCCAGUUUUGCUUCUGUGGUAGCUCAACUCUUUGAAAGCAUGUCCAGCAAUUCUGCAGUCCGUAUGAGCGCUCGCGGGCUGGGAUUCCUCUAGGCGAGUGACCGGACGAUUGUAUUGCCGGCUAUCGUCAAUCAUUCUAUAUGAAAUUUCAGCCAAAGGUAUCGUCAUUUAAUUAAAAUGGGCAUGUUUAUUUUUCUCUGUACACAUCAUAUAUACCAGCAUUGCAUGAAUCCUUGGCGUUGCUGAAAGCCACGACCCGGACGACGACCAGGGCGCACGUUUCUGUACGAGUUCUAUAACUGGUUGACUACUUUGAGCGAUGGAGGCGAUGCACAUGGUGGCGCUUGAGAUCAGGUUGUAACUGAGGAGUAGGCAGACAGAGAGCUAGCAACGAGCGGGAAGAACCAUGACAAGCUGCAAGCGGCCACGUCCUUCCCGAUAUGAAUGUUUCUGAUGCAUUAGACCACUAGCGGUAUGGAUUCCUGAAAUUUUGUUUGCCUUUUUUCUUUUCUUUUCUUAACCGUAUAUGCUUUUGAAUAUUCUGGCUGCUACCAAUUGGUGAACACCAACCUUUUGGGUUAAGGGACCUAAUAAGCGCAUUGGGGUACUGUCUGUUCAAAACUUAUUUCAGGGUAUGUUUUUUCACUGUGAUGUUUCCAUUUAAUGUACACUUCAGUAGUACAUCUUACUGAUCUAGGAAAUGUUAUUCAUACAUUGUAUAGAGUGCAUGCUAAAUAUAGCUAAAAGAACUGUAAAGUGUAGUAUGCACUGGAAUCCCAAUGUACACCAAUUAACACAUGACAUGCUAAUACUUGGUGCUCAAAUUGGUGGUAUCCUUAUUCAUCCAUUCAUUGACAAGUACACUAUUAGGUAGUCUUGCUAUCCAAAAUUUCAGAUGUCCUCUGAUUAGCUGAUAGUUCGGGCUAACCUUUUUGGGUGCAUAAUAAUAAUUUAUAUACCGUUCCUUAUUGAUCCAAAAAUACCUGAUUUUGUCGGUUCCAAUAUGUCAGGCCAUAUAUGGUUAAAAAAUUAUGUCUUGCCUUUCCCUGGCUGUUGUAAAGUUGAUUAUGUUAUUUUUCCUACAAUGUGGUCGCCGCUGUCGCCAUCUCUGUUGUUCUUUCAUCCGGUCAGGUAUUCCUCCUUUUUAAGUUAGUCCAUGCUAUUCCGUGCUGAUGUUUUAAUUUCCCUGUUCUUUGGUUGUCCGUGUUGUUUUCUCCUCUGGUUCGCCUAAACCCACGUCUGAUGGGCAUUUCGAACAUCAUUUGUGUUCCCUCCUUUUUCUCGUGGUUUCCUGGCAGCUCUGCCCACGGGUACUCAAUGCUUAACCUGCAGUACAAAACUAGGCGUAUUAUUACGUUUUAGGUGUGUAGUGUAAGUGCCCCCUCAGUUCUUGUUUGUCCUGGCUACAUUUGUCUUGAUAUUGGUAAAGCACAGUUUGUAGAGGUGUGCAUCUGUGUGAGCAGUUAGGUCAGGUAACUAUUCUUAUAAAAUUUAGUCCAGGCUUUGAAAAGAUUAGCCGGGCCAUGUCCAGACCAUUGCUUUAAAAGAAUUAGUUGUUCCCAUUCCACUUUCCAAAAUAUAUGCUUCUUUAUUUAUGGUUGGACACUAGACAGUCACUUGGACAAUUAGUCAUUCUUGAUUGUAUCCUGAUUUUUUUGUUAUACUGUGUUCAGUUGUUACAACUAUUACUUCUGCUAUGUUAGGAAUGGAUAUUGGAGCUAGCAAAUAUUCUAAAUUAAUUGGGAUAAUUUUUUUCCUUUAUUGUUGAGUUCUCUUUAUGCAAUCCUUAGUUACCUCUGACAAGCAUAGUUUCCAUUUGCAUAGUUUCUACAAGCUUGAGAUAAUCACUCUUCAGUUUGAUCUGCUCAUGAAGUUCUACUCCCAAAUAGGUUGAUGUGUUUUUCUAUUUUGAUUGCCUAAUAUAUGUUUUGCUAGCUACCCCAACCUGCUUGGGACAAAAGGGUUUGUUGUUGUAAUAUAUGUUUUAAAUUAAUUGGGAUAAAAAAAUUUCCUUUAUUGUUGAGUUCUCUUUAUGCAAUCCUUAGUUACCUCUGACAAGCAUAGUUUCCAUUUGCAUAGUUUCUACAAGCUUGAGAUAAUCACUCUUCAGUUUGAUCUGCUCAUGAAGUUCUACUCCCAAAUAGGUUGAUGUGUUUUUCUAUUUUGAUUGCCUAAUAUAUGUUUUGCUAGCUACCCCAACCUGCUUGGGGCAAAAGGGUUUGUUGUUGUAAUAUAUGUUUUGUUAUUAUUAUUAUUUACUUAAUAGCUGUCACAGUAUUGCCAUGUUGAGUUUAUUGUGUGUGGUGCGAGAUAUUAUUUUGCAAGUAACUCUUGACAUGGCACCCUCUGGUAAUGGAAAUCUUAUAGAGUAGAAUACAGUUGGUUCAUAAUUAAUGAUGAGCUUUCCUAGAUCAAUCGUGCUCUCCAAGUUACUGUUUUUCUUAUAUGUACUGAAGACCAUUUUAUUCUAUUGUUUUUUCCUUAUCAUUUUGGCUUGCGUGACUGUGUUUUUGAAUUAUUGCAACUACUUUUCUAAAGGUUGGAAGGAUCUAGCAGAAGCGUGGAUACAAAGACCAGUGGCCUUGGAACAUUAAGAUCUAUGCUGACGAUUCUGGAAGAAACAAAGGAGACGCUUGCCUAGCUUAUGAAGAUCCUUCUGCUGCUCAUGCGGCUGGUGGAUUCUACAACAAUUAUGACAUGAGAGGUCAUAAAAUUAGCGUUGUGAUGGCUGAAAAAUCGGCUCCCAGGGCUCCAACAUCUGGUCAUGGAGGUGGACGUGGUGGUGGUGACUAUGGAGGGGACCAACACAGAGACGGAGGAGGCCAUGGGCGUAACAACCAGGGUUGUGGUUCGUGUUCCUGGCCAUACUGGGAACACAUAUAAUUAAUUAAGAUUGUCUUUUGUGAGAAACCUUUUCUAUUUAUGUUCUUCAGACUUGUACCCACACAGGAACUUAAGGUAGGAGGUUUUUCUGCUUUCCCUGCACUUCUGUUCCAUUGUCAUACUCCAGUGUUGGUUGCCAAAAGUGAUCGGUCUAUGUUAUGUGAUUUUUUUCUUGGAGGCAGCUGGAUAAGCUCCAAAUGUUGGUAGGUUUUGAGAUAUUAUUACAGGUGAGUGCGGUCUAUUAUGAUAUAUUACUUUUCUCUCGAUUGGUGGUUAGCUACACCGUUUUAUCUGUUUCCCUUUUUGAUCUAAUGUGUACAUUCCACAUGGUACUUAACCGGUGGAUCACUGCUGUAAGCUUUGGAUUUCUAGGCUCACUUUCACUCUCCUCUGCUUAAAUAAGAACAUAGAUGUAGUCAUAUUUUUGGAAGUUCAAGUAUAAUUUCCUUAUCUCAGAUGAGAGAAGAGGAGGCUGACAGAAAAAACUAAGUGGACUCACAUUUUGUAUAAAAUAGUAAACCUUCUUUCUUUAACUAGGCCAUUGUACACUUUGCUAAAAGCAUAUAUACCGCUCAGUUUUAUGUUGUAAAAUAGAUGUACAGGAUUUGAUAUGACACAGACGGCGCGGCGUGCCGCCGCGCCCAUUCCUGCUAGUACUAUACUAAACCUGAACUAACUUCUUUUUUGUGAUAAUUUUGAGUUUAUUUCAUGGGUACCUGUUUUGCUGACACGUGUAUUCCUGCUCUAUUUGCAUGCUCAUAUUUCUUCUUCCUGUAUGUCUCGGGGACCCGCAGUGAUUUGGAAAAUUUUGAUUCAUGUGUUGCCGACACUGGGAUUCACUGAUGGGCCGACUUGGUGUGUUUUUCUGGUGUGUGGCCGUAGCUAUGAUCUGUUGAGACACUGGUGGGCUAUCAUGACGAUUUGUCGGAUACAUUUAAUUUAUUUUGGUUGGCACGUGAUGGGCUGGAUCAUUAUACACCGCUUUCACUGAUGUCUCGAACCUAGCCACCAGAAAUUUCUCGAGGGCUCCGAGGCGUAUCGUGUUGGACGCACAUGCUUUGCUCUGAGGUCUGAGCCAUUUGGUGGCGGCGGCACCGGCGAACGGUCGCCGGAUCGAUGGCGGCGAUGUCGUCUGGCGGCGGCGGACAGGGCACACGGCGGGGCGGCGCUACAAAGUGAGAGGGAGGGAAUGGAGGGGUCGACGAGGACCAUAAGCUCAUCACGAGCGCGUCGGGGAGGUAGGGGAGGCGGGAGGUGGUCGGCGCGGCGAAGCUUGGCCGGCUGCAGGGAAGACCGGCUCAGUUUUGGCAGUAGGGGCUUCCGGGCUUGCUCUGCUUGGCGGGGAUGAUGCGUACGAGGUGAUGGUGCUUCCGAGUUCCGAGCGGCCCGGCGGAGCUCGGGGAGGCCGGCAGCCACGGCGAUUUGCGGAUGGGGGAAGCCAACAGCCGGUCGAAGAUUCGAUGCGAGGGUAUGCCCUUCUCUACCUUUGCUCUUUCUUUUAGAAAAAAUACUCCCUCAUGGCCGACGAGGUCGUCUUGGUGCUGCCCUUGUCGUCGCUGCACCAACCGGUUGCUAGGUGACGGAACUCGAGUCGCCGGGAUGCACCGCCGCCGCCGUCCGUGGUCAUCCAAGCAGAGGGACGCGGAGAUAUGGGUGGAGAGGGACGCGGAGGGAGGGCGAAGAGGGCCGCUGCAGGAGAAAGAGAAUGCUGGGGCUUGGUCGUCGGGGCCGGUCGUCGCCGUGGUCGUCGUGUUCGUAUGGUACGGGAGAGGAAAAGAUCCACUUCCAUGUGUCGCCCCCUUCCUCCCGUUCCUAGCUCUUUCCUAGCCACACCGACAUUUCCGGGACUGAGACCACCCAGCAGCCGCCUCUGGCAAGAUCGCAAAUUGGCAUAUAUUCAAUGGGUACUGACCGGCCAGCAAUAGAAGAGGUGUUUAUCAGUGACAUUCAGUAGUCUACAAGAGUCAGUGCACUGCUACAUUAUUGCUUCACGAUCACAUGCUUUCUUGAUUGGUCGACAUCUACUCAGGUAGUUCUUGAUGCUAGCAGCAGUAGAUAGUUCUUGAUGCAGGCAACGGUAGAUUUAAUGCAUGUUCAUAUAUGUCCAUGCACAUGUCAACUGAAGAGGAAAUUGUAGUGUACGUUGUCUAUCAGAAACAAGCAAUGCUCACUCUCGGGUAACAGAACAAAAGGGGUUAUGAGUUUUUGCUCUUUGUUUUGUCUCCUAUGUGGGAUUUCGACCAGAUUUAUAUGGGAUUUGGGUGUUCUGCAUAAAUGCUUCAGUCUUGCUGUAGUCAGGGUCUUCUGCGAGGCGGGUGAAUUUGGCUUCUUUGUCAAUUUGAGGCGCUGGUACUGGCUAAGUUCUUCUCCAUCUGCAUCUGUUUUUGGUUUUUGUUAGUUUUAGAUGAGGUAGCAGGAUUUUGCCAUUUAGACAUUUUCCUGCUGUAGUCGGGGUCUUCUGCGAGGCGAGUGAAUUUGGCUUCUUUGUCAAUUUGAGGCGCUGGUACUGGCUAAGUUCUUUGCCAUCUCUGCAUCUGAUUUUGGUUUUCGUUAGCUUUAGGUGAGGUAGCAGGAUUUAGGCAUUUUCGGGGUGAAUUUUAUAGACAAGUUUUGAUUGACAAUGUAGUGUUCUGCAGUAGAUAUAUCUUCAAUUUCUGGGAUCCUAAUGAUUGCUUGGUUCUGUUUCUAAUAACUUGUGUUUUCUGUUAAAACAUAGAAUGUUUUAUGUGGAGUGGAAUCCCAGCUUUUGUUUUGGUAAUAUGUUUUCUGUAAAUAUUUUGCAACUGCUAUGGAUUCACCUACUAAUAAUGUAGUCAAUGUCAUGUGGUUUUCUCUAGAAAUCCUCGAGAUGCAGGGAAGUUUGAAAGUUAUGAUACUAUGUGCAAAAAAAAUGUAGCAUGUGGCUGAUGCAGAUUUAUUGUAUCCUCCAUGACAAAUUAGAUACUUUGGGAGACUUAUGUAACCUAAGUCUUGAAUUUUAUUAUGGUCAGCAUGCGCAUAUUUGGUUGUUGUUCUAUUGCAUGGUCAUAGGCGUUUGGCGACAGUCAUAUGGUCGGUGUAAAUAUUAGUCCCUCCUUAGUCCUGAUGAUGAUCGUGUUCAGUUCAGGGCCUAUGAUGCUUCCUUUAGCUUCCUACAAUUUGACAGAAUUGCUCAUCAUAUAGUUAUAAUUAGAAGAUCAUAUUCUCAAUUUAUCGCAUAUGCUUGCUUUUCUACACAAUUCUGUUCCAUUUGUUGCAGAUUCAAGGAUUUAAAUUAACAAGAUAUAUUCUUGAUGGGGAUUAAGUAUUGUAUCAUUGUAUUUGAGAUUUUAAAUGAUCUGCCUGCCACUGUUCAGAUCACAUCUUCCUUUGCUAGAAGGUGAGCUGAUUCUAACUUUCACCUCAAGUUGCUCCCGUCCUUGACCUUGUGAAUUGUUAUUUCUAUAGGGUUCUCAAGUAAUUUGUUCAAAAUAAUACAGUAGUCAGUGCACGAGAAUAAGGCGUCACUGCAUCAGUUGCAGUUUUUUGUGCCAUGCACACGAAUUAAAGAGAUCCUGUUUCAACGUAUUACUCCACGGUAUUCAACUACUGCCUGAUUUCAAGAUGAUUUUUUUUGCUAGAAACAGGACAAGUAUUGCUCUUACUUCAGUAGCAGAGGCCUCAAAACAUCCCAAAUAAUUUUCCGAAUAGCUUUUGUCAUGUUCUCGAGCUAACUCGCUGGAUCUGGUUAGUGCAGGUUCAAUGUUUUUGUAAGCGUGCCUCCUAUUUUAUUUUGUGUUCAAGGGCCAUAAUCGAGUAAACAUAGGCAAAUGAGAGCUAAAAUUUCACGUUUAAUAUCAAUUCGACCCACAUGCAAGUUAUAUAAGUAUUUAUUAUAUGCAAUGCUAUCGGGAGACCAAGCACUAUUCCAGCUCUGUUAUAAAAUAGAGCACCAUGUCAGCAAACUGACUUUGUGUUCUACCUGAACCAUGCAGUUCCCAGAAACUUUUGGCUUCAGUUUCACAUGGUUUGCAAGCAAGGUUCCUAGAAAGUUUCAGAUAUGUGUGUUUUGGAGGACCACAUCAGAGGGCCUUCACUUUUUCAUUGUAAUAAUCGGAAUUGCAUUCAACAAUUUUUAAAUAUCUGAACCAUGAACUGCCAUCUUCUCAUUGCUUAUCUCUCAGUAUUAAAUUAGUCAAACUGUAAUGUCAACAUAUGAUACAAACCUUGCUUGCAGAGUUAUUACAGAAUAAACUUAGCUCUAAUAUUUGUCUUUCUUGGAUUUACUUCUUUUUUAUUGCAUUACUACCUGUAAACUCUUUUUGAUCUACUUGCAUUAGUUUCUGUCUCCAAUAUAUAAUGGUCACUUCUACUUUGGUUUUCAAGCUAAGCCUGAUUCCUUGUCCUGGAUGUGCAUGAGAAGGUGAGAACAUGAGUUUUAACCUUCAGAGCCACCUGAGUAGCCUUGGCAUUUCUGUACCUGCAAGGUUAAAUCGUCAUGCAAAGUUUUAUUGUGAUGUGCAUGUAUUGUGAAAGCUGAACAGCCGAGCCAGUUCACUACUUCCGGUCCUAUUAGUGUUCAGUCAUGUUAGAAAAAAUACAGUAUUAAAUUAAAUUUCACUUCAGAACAUGAUCACUAAUUUCUUUUUUUAUUACUAAAUAGACGGACAUAACAUCAAAAAAGUAGUCGAACUUGUGUAUUUCCCGUUGUUGUGGUUAUUUGUCUUCUUCAACUGAUCUUUAGGAGUGCCUUAUAUAUCGGAAAUUCAAUUCGGCUCCCGGGUGCGUAUGCUCCCUUAUAUAUCCACUACCUUCUGUAGGGGUUUGAGGCAAGGAUUAUACCCUGAAGUGUUUUUAUUCCAAAUCUAUGCAUGGUCAACAAUUUUAACCAAAGUUAUUGUCCUAUUCGCAUGUAAUUUGUUGUUACUAUUGUAUUCCAUUCGUGUGAUUGAUCUGUAUGUAUCUCAUUAAUGACUUAAAGAACAGUAAACAAGCAAAAUGGAAAGGUGUGAUGUAUCAGUUCACCUCUUUUAUUCAUUACCAGGUUCAUUCACCACCUCUAGCUG
Long non-coding RNA from Lolium perenne, 9184 nucleotides. RefSeq lists it as uncharacterized. The record is from RefSeq and is a predicted model, not a curated record. NCBI's taxonomy places the organism in Eukaryota, Viridiplantae, Streptophyta, Magnoliopsida, Poales, Poaceae.